CGAAGGGUGCAAGCGUUACUCGGAAUUACUGGGCGUAAAGCGUGCGUAGGCGGUUUCUUAAGCCUGUCGUGAAAGCCCUGGGCUCAACCUGGGAAUGGCGAUGGAUACUGGGAGGCUAGAGUGUGAUAGAGGAUGGUGGAAUUCCCGGUGUAGCGGUGAAAUGCGUAGAGAUCGGGAGGAACACCAGUGGCGAAGGCGGCCAUCUGGAUCAACACUGACGCUGAGGCACGAAAGCGUGGGGAGCAAACAGGAUUAGAUACCCUGGUAGUCCACGCCCUAAACGAUGCGAACUGGACGUUGGGAGCAACUUGGCUCUCAGUGUCGAAGCUAACGCGUUAAGUUCGCCGCCUGGGGAGUACGGUCGCAAGACUG
Molecule: ribosomal RNA, 372 nt
Filed under: uncultured organism
Description: bacterial SSU rRNA
Rfam family: Bacterial small subunit ribosomal RNA
Source: RNAcentral